GUUCGCGGCUGGACUAUUUAUUACCCUUGUCUUUUGCGCACUUGUUGUUUCCUGGGCGGGUUCGCUCGCCACCAGGACCACAAUAUAAACCUUUUUUAUGCAGUUGCAAUCAGCGUCAGUAUAACAAAUGUAAAUCAUUUACAACUUUCAACAACGGAUCUCUUGGUUCUGGCAUCGAUGAAGAACGCAGCGAAAUGCGAUACGUAGUGUGAAUUGCAGAAUUCAGUGAAUCAUCGAAUCUUUGAACGCACAUUGCGCCCUUUGGUAUUCCAAAGGGCAUGCCUGUUCGAGCGUCAUUUGUACCCUCAAGCUUUGCUUGGUGUUGGGCGUUUUUGUCUUUGGCCCGCCAAAGACUCGCCUUAAAAUGAUUGGCAGCCGGCCUACUGGUUUCGCAGCGCAGCACAUUUUUGCGCUUGCAAUCAGCAAAAGAGGACGGCAAUCCAUCAAGACUCCUUCUCACGUUUGACCUCGGAUCAGGUAGGGAUACCCGCUGAACUUAAGCAUAUCA
This 508-nucleotide ribosomal RNA is filed under the name Curvularia spicifera. Its description in RNAcentral is "eukaryotic LSU rRNA". The stretch from base 143 to 296 matches the Rfam family "5.8S ribosomal RNA". Lineage: Eukaryota; Fungi; Ascomycota; Dothideomycetes; Pleosporales; Pleosporaceae. The record is from RNAcentral.